This 253-nucleotide ribosomal RNA is filed under the name uncultured bacterium. RNAcentral describes it as "partial 16S ribosomal RNA". It matches the Rfam family "Bacterial small subunit ribosomal RNA", at positions 524 to 776 of the family's 1533-position model. The record is from RNAcentral.
UACGUAGGGACCAAGCGUUGUUCGGAUUUACUGGGCGUAAAGGGCGCGUAGGCGGCGCGGUAAGUCACUUGUGAAAUCUCUGAGCUUAACUCAGAACGGCCAAGUGAUACUGCAGUGCUUGAGUGUGGUAGGGGAGACUGGAAUUCCUGGUGUAGCGGUGAAAUGCGCAGAUAUCAGGAGGAACACCGAUGGCGAAGGCAGGUCUCUGGGCCACUACUGACGCUGAGAAGCGAAAGCAUGGGGAGCGAACAGG